This 464-nucleotide ribosomal RNA is filed under the name uncultured bacterium. RNAcentral's name for it is "partial 16S ribosomal RNA". It matches the Rfam family "Bacterial small subunit ribosomal RNA", at positions 28 to 507 of the family's 1533-position model. The record is from RNAcentral.
GACGAACGCUGGCGGCGUGCUUAACACAUGCAAGUCGAACGGAAAGGCCCUGCUUGCAGGGUACUCGAGUGGCGAACGGGUGAGUAACACGUGGGUGAUCUGCCCUGCACUUCGGGAUAAGCCUGGGAAACUGGGUCUAAUACCGGAUAGGAGCCCUUUUUAGUGUGAUGGUUGGAAAGUUUUUUCGGUGUAGGAUGAGCUCGCGGCCUAUCAGCUUGUUGGUGGGGUAAUGGCCUACCAAGGCGGCGACGGGUAGCCGGCCUGAGAGGGUGGACGGCCACAUUGGGACUGAGAUACGGCCCAGACUCCUACGGGAGGCAGCAGUGGGGAAUAUUGCACAAUGGGCGCAAGCCUGAUGCAGCGACGCCGCGUGGGGGAUGACGGCCUUCGGGUUGUAAACUCCUUUCGCUAGGGACGAAGCUUUUGUGACGGUACCUAGAUAAGAAGCACCGGCUAACUACGUG